GACGAACGCUGGCGGCGUGCUUAACACAUGCAAGUCGAACGGCAAGGCCCUGCUUUUGUGGUGUGCUCGAGUGGCGAACGGGUGAGUAACACGUGAGUAACCUGCCCUUGACUUUGGGAUAACUUCAGGAAACUGGGGCUAAUACCGGAUAGGAGCUCCUGCUGCAUGGUGGGGGUUGGAACGUUUCGGCGGUUGGGGAUGGACUCGCGGCUUAUCAGCUUGUUGGUGGGGUAGUGGCUUACCAAGGCGUUGACGGGUAGCCGGCCUGAGAGGGUGACCGGCCACAUUGGGACUGAGAUACGGCCCAGACUCCUACGGGAGGCAGCAGUGGGGAAUAUUGCACAAUGGGCGGAAGCCUGAUGCAGCAACGCCGCGUGCGGGAUGACGGCCUUCGGGUUGUAAACCGCUUUCGCCUGUGACGAAGCGUGAGUGACGGUAAUGGGUAAAGAAGCACCGGCUAACUACGUG
Molecule: ribosomal RNA, 468 nt
Filed under: uncultured bacterium
Lineage: Bacteria
Description: partial 16S ribosomal RNA
Rfam family: Bacterial small subunit ribosomal RNA
Source: RNAcentral